GCCAGCAUGGCAUAGUGGUUUGAGUGUUGGACUACAACUCUGGAGACCAGGGUUCAAUUCUCAGCUCAGCCA
RNAcentral lists this transfer RNA (72 nucleotides) under Phrynosoma platyrhinos (Desert horned lizard). RNAcentral describes it as "tRNA-OTHER". Lineage: Eukaryota; Metazoa; Chordata; Lepidosauria; Squamata; Phrynosomatidae. The record is from RNAcentral.